GACGAACGCUGGCGGCGUGCCUAACACAUGCAAGUCGAACGGAACUGUUUUGAAAGAUUUCUUCGGAAUGAAUUUGAUUUAGUUUAGUGGCGGACGGGUGAGUAACGCGUGAGUAACCUGCCUUCAAGAGGGGGAUAACAUUCUGAAAAGGAUGCUAAUACCGCAUGACAUAUCGGAACCACAUGGUUUUGAUAUCAAAGAUUUUAUCGCUUGAAGAUGGACUCGCGUCCGAUUAGUUAGUUGGUGAGGUAACGGCUCACCAAGACCGCGAUCGGUAGCCGGACUGAGAGGUUGAACGGCCACAUUGGGACUGAGACACGGCCCAGACUCCUACGGGAGGCAGCAGUGGGGGAUAUUGCGCAAUGGGGGCAACCCUGACGCAGCAACGCCGCGUGAAGGAUGAAGGUUUUCGGAUUGUAAACUUCUUUUAUUAAGGACGAAAAAUGACGGUACUUAAUGAAUAAGCUCCGGCUAACUACGUGCCAGCAGCCGCGGUAAUACGUAGGGAGCAAGCGUUGUCCGGAUUUACUGGGUGUAAAGGGUGCGUAGGCGGCUUUGCAAGUCAGAUGUGAAAUCUAUGGGCUCAACCCAUAAACUGCAUUUGAAACUGUAGAGCUUGAGUGAAGUAGAGGCAGGCGGAAUUCCCCGUGUAGCGGUGAAAUGCGUAGAGAUGGGGAGGAACACCAGUGGCGAAGGCGGCCUGCUGGGCUUUAACUGACGCUGAGGCACGAAAGCGUGGGUAGCAAACAGG
Molecule: ribosomal RNA, 751 nt
Filed under: uncultured Lachnospiraceae bacterium
Lineage: Bacteria; Bacillati; Bacillota; Clostridia; Lachnospirales; Lachnospiraceae
Description: bacterial SSU rRNA
Rfam family: Bacterial small subunit ribosomal RNA
Source: RNAcentral